GCCCCGCUAACUCAGCGGAUGGAGCAGCACUUUCCUAAAUCGUGUGUCGCUGGUUCGAUUCCAGCGCGAGGCAC
This 74-nucleotide transfer RNA is filed under the name Micromonospora sp. NBRC 101691. RNAcentral's name for it is "tRNA-Arg". It matches the Rfam family "tRNA". Rfam says of the family: Transfer RNA (tRNA) molecules are approximately 80 nucleotides in length. Their secondary structure includes four short double-helical elements and three loops (D, anti-codon, and T loops). Lineage: Bacteria; Bacillati; Actinomycetota; Actinomycetes; Micromonosporales; Micromonosporaceae. The record is from RNAcentral.